Molecule: ribosomal RNA, 494 nt
Filed under: uncultured bacterium
Lineage: Bacteria
Description: bacterial SSU rRNA
Rfam family: Bacterial small subunit ribosomal RNA
Source: RNAcentral
AGAGUUGAUCAGUGGCUCAGGACGAACGCUGGCGGCGUGCCUAACACAUGCAAGUCGAGCGAGAUGAACCCUUCGGGGUGAUUCUAGCGGCGGACGGGUGAGUAACACGUGGGUAACCUGCCUCAAAGAGGGGGAUAGCCUCCCGAAAGGGAGAUUAAUACCGCAUAACAUUAUUUCUUCGCAUGAAGAGAUAAUCAAAGGAGUAAUCCGCUUUGAGAUGGACCCGCGACGCAUUAGCUAGUUGGUGAGGUAAUGGCUCACCAAGGCGACGAUGCGUAGCCGACCUGAGAGGGUGAUCGGCCACAUUGGAACUGAGAUACGGUCCAGACUCCUACGGGAGGCAGCAGUGGGGAAUAUUGCGCAAUGGGGGAAACCCUGACGCAAGCAACGCCGCGUGGGUGAAGAAGGCCUUCGGGUUGUAAAGCUCUGUCUUCUGGGACGAUAAUGACGGUACCAGAGGAGGAAGCCACGGCUAACUACGUGCCAGCAGCUGC